This 253-nucleotide ribosomal RNA is filed under the name uncultured bacterium. RNAcentral describes it as "partial 16S ribosomal RNA". It matches the Rfam family "Bacterial small subunit ribosomal RNA", at positions 524 to 776 of the family's 1533-position model. The record is from RNAcentral.
UACGUAGGGCGCAAGCGUUGUCCGAGAUUAUUGGGCGUAAAGAGCUCGUAGGCGGUUUGUCGCGUCUGCUGUGAAAACCCGGGGCUCAACCCCGGGCCUGCAUUCGAUACGGGCAGACUAGAGUUCGGUAGGGGAGUCUGGAAUUCCUGGUGUAGCGGUGAAAUGCGCAGAUAUCAGGAAGAACACCCGUGGCGAAGGCGGCUCUCUGGGACGGUACUGACGCUGAGACGCGAAAGCGUGGGGAGCGAACAGG